RNAcentral lists this ribosomal RNA (478 nucleotides) under uncultured bacterium. RNAcentral's name for it is "partial 16S ribosomal RNA". It matches the Rfam family "Bacterial small subunit ribosomal RNA", at positions 28 to 507 of the family's 1533-position model. The record is from RNAcentral.
GAUGAACGCUGGCGGCGUGCUUAACACAUGCAAGUCGAACGGGAAGUGGAGACGUAAACCUUCGGGCGGAAGGCGUUAUUUGGAGUGGCGGACGGGUUAGGAACGCGUGGGUAGCCUGCCGUAUACAGGGGGAUAACAGUUGGAAACGAGUGUUAAUACCGCAUAAGACCACAGCACCGCAUGGUGCGGGGGUAAAAACUCCGGUGGUAUUAGAUGGACCGGAGUUGGAUUGGCCUGUUGGCGGGGUAACGGGCCACGAAAGCGACGAUCGAUACACUGUCUGAGAGAAUGACCCGCCACAUUGGGACUGAGACGCGGCCCAAACUCCUACGCGAGGGGGCAAUGGGGGAUAUAGCACAGUGGGGGAAGCCCUGAUGCACCGACGCCGCGUGAGUGAAGAAAUAUGUCGGUAUGUAAAGCUCUAUCAGCAGGGAAGAAAAUGACGGUACCUAAGGAAGAAGCCCCGGCUAACUACGUG